CUACGGGCGGCUGCAGUGGGGAAUAUUGCAUAAUGGGCGCAAGCCUGAUGCAGCCAUGCCGCGUGUAUGAAGAAGGCCUUCGGGUUGUAAAGUACUUUCAGCGGGGAGGAAGGGAGUAAAGUUAAUACCUUUGCUCAUUGACGUUACCCGCAGAAGAAGCACUGGCAAACUCCGUGCCAGCAGCCGCGGUAAUACGGAGGGUGCAAGCGUUAAUCGGAAUUACUGGGCGUAAAGCGCACGCAGGCGGUUUGUUAAGUCAGAUGUGAAAUCCCCGGGCUCAACCUGGGAACUGCAUCUGAUACUGGCAAGCUUGAGUCUCGUAGAGGGGGGUAGAAUUCCAGGUGUAGCGGUGAAAUGCGUAGAGAUCUGGAGGAAUACCGGUGGCGAAGGCGGCCCCCUGGACGAAGACUGACGCUCAGGUGCGAAAGCGUGGGGAGCAAACAGGAUUAGAUACCCCAGUAGUC
RNAcentral lists this ribosomal RNA (464 nucleotides) under uncultured bacterium. RNAcentral's name for it is "partial 16S ribosomal RNA". It matches the Rfam family "Bacterial small subunit ribosomal RNA", at positions 339 to 795 of the family's 1533-position model. The record is from RNAcentral.